Molecule: ribosomal RNA, 643 nt
Filed under: uncultured Gammaproteobacteria bacterium
Lineage: Bacteria; Pseudomonadati; Pseudomonadota; Gammaproteobacteria
Description: bacterial SSU rRNA
Rfam family: Bacterial small subunit ribosomal RNA
Source: RNAcentral
AGAGUUUGAUCCUGGCUCAGAUUGAACGCUAGCGGCGUGCUUAACACAUGCAAGUCGAACGGCAGCGCGAGGAGCUUGCUCCUUGGCGGCGAGUGGCGGACGGGUGAGUAACGCGUAGGAAACUACCUAGUAGUGGGGGAUAACUCGGGGAAACUCGAGCUAAUACCGCGUACGCUCUACGGAGGAAAGCAGGGGAUCUUCGGACCUUGCGCUAUUAGAUGUGCCUGCGUCGGAUUAGCUUGUUGGUGGGGUAAAGGCCUACCAAGGCGAUGAUCCGUAGCUGGUCUGAGAGGAUGAUCAGCCACACUGGGACUGAGACACGGCCCAGACUCCUACGGGAGGCAGCAGUGGGGAAUAUUGGACAAUGGGGGAAACCCUGAUCCAGCAACGCCGCGUGUGUGAAGAAGGUCUUCGGAUUGUAAAGCACUUUCAGCGGGGAGGAAAAAAUAGUCCUUAAUACGGGCUAUCUUGACAUUACCCGCAAAAGAAGCACUGGCUAACUCUGUGCCAGCAGCCGCGGUAAUACAGAGAGUGCGAGCGUUAAUCGGAAUUAUUGGGCGUAAAGCGCGCGUAGGUUGAUUGCUAAGUCAAAUGUGAAAGCCCUGGGCUCAACCCAGGAACUGCAUUUGAUACUGGCAGUCUA